This 648-nucleotide long non-coding RNA is filed under the name Mus musculus (house mouse). RNAcentral's name for it is "long non-coding RNA chr3:126662378-126663026". Lineage: Eukaryota; Metazoa; Chordata; Mammalia; Rodentia; Muridae. The record is from RNAcentral.
UUUGAUUUGCUUUGUUUUGUUUUGUCUUUUGAGAGACAGGGUCUUAGUAUAUAGCCCUGACUGGCCUGAGACUUAAUAUGUAGAUAUAGAUAUUAUUAGGCUCAUCUUGACCUCACAGAGAUCCUCCUGCCUCUGCCUCAGAGUGCUGGGAUUAAAUGUGUGUGUCACAAUACUCAGAGCUGAAGUUUUAAGUAUGACUAUUUCUUAAAUUAGGAAAACAUAUAUACUGACAUUAUAAAACUAACCAAUUAUGAAGUAGAACUCAAGAAGUCUGUUUUUGUUUUUUUAUUUUUAAAUUAAGUAAAAUAUUAACUAAUGUCAAUUAUUUACAUUUCAGCAGACCACUUAGUUAAAUGGUAGUUUAACCAGGUUUUUAGCCAUGGUAUGUGUGGCUCUGUUUGUUUAUUUGUUUUUAUUUGUUUGGUUGUUUUGCUACUCAAUUUAUUAUCAUCUAUUAAAUGGAGUAAACUCUAGAAACAAUUUGAGAUGAGAGGUGUACCUUGUCAAGAGCCUGAAUUGUCCUGUGCUUAGCGGGACUUAGGAUGCCUGUGCCAUUUAUUGUAUUUGGAUUGAAAAUGAAGAAUAUAAAGAUUUUUAGAUUUUUUAAAAUCUUGUAUACUGCAGUAUCAUAUAUGAUAAGACGAUUGC